ACGGGAGGCAGCAGUGGGGAAUCUUCCGCAAUGGGCGAAAGCCUGACGGAGCAACGCCGCGUGAGUGAAGAAGGUCUUCGGAUCGUAAAGCUCUGUUGUCAGGGACGACACCUUACCUCAGGAAAUGGGGGUAAGCAGACGGUACCUGACGAGGAAGCCACGGCUAACUACGUGCCAGCAGCCGCGGUAAUACGUAGGCGGCAAGCGUUGUCCGGAAUCAUUGGGCGUAAAGGGAGCGCAGGUGGGAGAACAAGUCGUUCUUAAAAGUGCGGGGCUCACCCCCGUGAUGGGGAAGAAACUGUUUUUCUUGGGUGUAGGAGAGGAAAGCGGAAUUCCUAGUGUAGCGGUGAAAUGCGUAGAUAUUAGGAAGAACACCAGUGGCGAAGGCGGCUUGCUGGACUGUAACUGACACUGAGGCUCGAAAGCGUGGGGAGCAAACAGGAUUAGAUACCCUGGUA
This 458-nucleotide ribosomal RNA is filed under the name uncultured Schwartzia sp. RNAcentral describes it as "partial 16S ribosomal RNA". It matches the Rfam family "Bacterial small subunit ribosomal RNA", at positions 341 to 792 of the family's 1533-position model. The record is from RNAcentral. Lineage: Bacteria; Bacillati; Bacillota; Negativicutes; Selenomonadales; Selenomonadaceae.